CAAAGAAUAGUUUAAAUAAAAUAAUAAUUUUGGAGAUUAUCGAUAAAGAUAUACUUUUUCUUUGA
Molecule: transfer RNA, 65 nt
Filed under: Graphium parus
Lineage: Eukaryota; Metazoa; Arthropoda; Insecta; Lepidoptera; Papilionidae
Description: tRNA-Pro
Source: RNAcentral